This 744-nucleotide ribosomal RNA is filed under the name uncultured bacterium. Its description in RNAcentral is "bacterial SSU rRNA". It matches the Rfam family "Bacterial small subunit ribosomal RNA", at positions 34 to 760 of the family's 1533-position model. The record is from RNAcentral.
CGCUGGCGGCGUGCCUAAUACAUGCAAGUCGAGCGAACGGACGAGAAGCUUGCUUCUCUGAUGUUAGCGGCGGACGGGUGAGUAACACGUGGAUAACCUACCUAUAAGACUGGGAUAACUUCGGGAAACCGGAGCUAAUACCGGAUAAUAUUUUGAACCGCAUGGUUCAAAAGUGAAAGACGGUCUUGCUGUCACUUAUAGAUGGAUCCGCGCUGCAUUAGCUAGUUGGUAAGGUAACGGCUUACCAAGGCAACGAUGCAUAGCCGACCUGAGAGGGUGAUCGGCCACACUGGAACUGAGACACGGUCCAGACUCCUACGGGAGGCAGCAGUAGGGAAUCUUCCGCAAUGGGCGAAAGCCUGACGGAGCAACGCCGCGUGAGUGAUGAAGGUCUUCGGAUCGUAAAACUCUGUUAUUAGGGAAGAACAUAUGUGUAAGUAACUGUGCACAUCUUGACGGUACCUAACCAGAAAGCCACGGCUAACUACGUGCCAGCAGCCGCGGUAAUACGUAGGUGGCAAGCGUUAUCCGGAAUUAUUGGGCGUAAAGCGCGCGUAGGCGGUUUUUUAAGUCUGAUGUGAAAGCCCACGGCUCAACCGUGGAGGGUCAUUGGAAACUGGAAAACUUGAGUGCAGAAGAGGAAAGUGGAAUUCCAUGUGUAGCGGUGAAAUGCGCAGAGAUAUGGAGGAACACCAGUGGCGAAGGCGACUUUCUGGUCUGUAACUGACGCUGAUGUGCGAAAGC